GAUGAACGCUGGCGGCGUGCUUAACACAUGCAAGUCGAACGAUGAAGCCCAGCUUGCUGGGCGGAUUAGUGGCGAACGGGUGAGUAACACGUGAGUAACCUGCCCUUGACUCUGGGAUAAGCCCGGGAAACUGGGUCUAAUCCCGGAUAGGACCUCCUGCCUCAUGACGGGUGCUGGAAAGCUCUUUCGGUCUUGGGUGGUCUCGCGGCCUAUCCGCUUGUUCGUGAGGUAACGGCUCACCAACGCGACGACGGCUAGCCGGCCCGAGAGGGUGACCGUCCACAAUGGGACUGAGACACGGCCCAGACCCGUACGGGAGGCAGCAGUGGGGAAUAUUGCACAAUGGGCGAAAGCCUGAUGCAGCGACGCCGCGUGAGGGAUGACGGCCUUCGGGUUGUAAACCUCUUUCAGCAGGGAAGAAGCGAAAGUGACGGUACCUGCAGAAGAAGCACCGGCUAACUACGUG
This 466-nucleotide ribosomal RNA is filed under the name uncultured bacterium. RNAcentral describes it as "partial 16S ribosomal RNA". It matches the Rfam family "Bacterial small subunit ribosomal RNA", at positions 28 to 507 of the family's 1533-position model. The record is from RNAcentral.